AUGACAAUGAGGCCGCUCGUCCUUCUUGCCCUGGCCGCCGUGCUCGCAGCCGGUAUCGGCAGCGCUGAGGGAGCUGGCGAGUGCGCGAGGGCCAUCGCCAGGGUCCCGCAACUGGCUCGGUGCGCCCCGGCGGGGCGCAACCCGCAGUCCGCGCCGACGGCCAUCUGCUGCGUGGCGGUGCGCAAGGUCAGCAUGGCGAGCCCCGAUUGCGUGUGCGCCGUCUUCCUGAACGACGCCUUCAAACUGUUGGGAGUGAAGCCUGAGGUCGCACUCACGAUCCCCAAGCGCUGUGGCAUAGCCGACUGCGGAGGUA
RNAcentral lists this ribosomal RNA (313 nucleotides) under Triticum aestivum (bread wheat). RNAcentral's name for it is "partial small subunit ribosomal RNA". Lineage: Eukaryota; Viridiplantae; Streptophyta; Magnoliopsida; Poales; Poaceae. The record is from RNAcentral.